This 23-nucleotide small nuclear RNA is filed under the name Arabidopsis thaliana (thale cress). Its description in RNAcentral is "snRNA_07654". The record is from RNAcentral. Lineage: Eukaryota; Viridiplantae; Streptophyta; Magnoliopsida; Brassicales; Brassicaceae.
GCUUAACAGUUACAACCAAGAAU